CUAUGAAUAGUCGAAUCGUCCUGGAAAGGCGAGCCAGAGGAGGUGAGAGCCCGGUAGACGAAAUUGAUAGGUCUCUCUGGUUUAUGGACCCGAGUACUGCGGGGCACGAGGAACCCUGUGGGAAUCAAUGCCGACCACGGCAUAAGGCUAAAUAUGAUUCUGUGACCGAUAGUGAACCAGUACCGCGAGGGAAAGGUGAAAAGCACCCCGGAAGGGGAGUGAAAUAGUACCUGAAACCGUAUGCCUACAACCAGUCGGAGCCGAGCACUCAACUGUAAGCACCGCCGGAGAGAGAUUCUGGUAGGUGCUUUGAGUUGAGUGCUUGGUGACGGCGUGCCUUUUGCAUAAUGAGCCAGCGAGUUGUGGUAAGCAGCGCAGGUUAAGCCCUUCAGGGGCGGAGCCGUAGCGAAAGCGAGUCUGAAUAGGGCGAAUGAGUUGCUUGCUGCAGACGCGAAGCCGGGUGAUCUACCCAUGGCCAGGAUGAAACCCCGGUAAAACGAGGUGGAGGUCCGAACCUACUGGUGUUGAAAAACCAGGGGAUGAGCUGUGGGUAGGGGUGAAAGGCUAAUCAAACUCGGAGAUAGCUCGUUCUCCCCGAAAUAGCUUUAGGGCUAGCCUCGGGUAAAAGUGUGGCGGAGGUAGAGCACUAAUAGGGUAAGGGCCCGUUAGGGUACCAAUCUCUGUUAAACUCCGAAUACCGUACACAAGCUUCGUGGCCGAGAGGGAAACAGCCCAGACCAUCAGCUAAGGUCCCCAAGUAUAGGUUAAGUGCGAAAGGAGGUGGAAUGGCCCAGACAACCAGGAGGUUGGCUUAGAAGCAGCCAUCCUUUAAAAAGUGCGUAAUAGCUUACUGGUCGAGCCAUUCUGCGCCGAAAAUUGUCGGGACUAAACCUAUCACCGAAGCUGUGGUCCCGCACUUAAAUAAUUAAGUGCGGGAGGUAGGGGAGCAUUCUGCUGACCGGCGAAGGUAUGUCGUGAGGCAUGCUGGAGGAGGCAGAAGUGAGGAUGCUGGCAUAAGUAGCGAUAAAUACGGUGGGAAUCCGUAUCACCGAAAAUCUAAGGUUUCCUGAGUAAAGUUCGUCUGCUCAGGGUUAGUCGGGACCUAAGGUGAGGCCGAGAGGCGUAGCCGAUGGGAAACGGGUUAAAUAUUCCCGUACCACCAUAUCGGGUGUUUGAGUGAGCGGGGUGACGCAGGAGUGAAGGUCAUCCGGGUGUUGGACGUCCCGGUUUAAGCAGGUAGGCGGGGCUGGCAGGCAAAUCCGCUGGCCCAAUCCAAACGCCGAGACGCGAAUAGGAGGCCCCUAGGGCCAUAAACUGACCGUAAUCACACUGCCAGGAAAAACCUCGUUGGCGAAUCCGAUAGGUGCCCGUACCGCAAACCGACACAGGUAGAUGGGGAGAGAAUCCUCAGGUGCGCGAGUGAGCUCUCGUUUAGGAACUCGGCAAAAUAGCCCCGUAACUUCGGGAGAAGGGGUGCCCCUGAUAGGUAGAGAUCUUAGCGAUCCGAGCCGAAGGGGGUUGCAGUGACCAGGCCCAGGCGACUGUUUACUAAAAACACAUGUCUCUGCGAAGUCGUAAGACGACGUAUAGGGACUGACACCUGCCCGGUGCCGGAAGGUUAAGGGGAUCUGUUCGUCCCGCACUUAUUUUAGCUCAUAGGGAGGGAAUGUAUGUUUUACGUCUAUGUUUUAAUGAGUAAAGACAAAGACGCUAAAAUUUACAUUGGGUAUACCAAAGACUUAAAACAAAGACUUAGAUGUCACAACUCUUUAGGAAAUCAAGGCUUGACGAGAAGGAGAAAAUGGAUAUUAGUCUAUUAUGAGUCAUAUCUAUCCGAUGUAGAUGCCCGAAAAAGGGAGAGGCAAUUAAAAUAUGAUGGAAGGGCAAAGCGUUGGCUGUUGGAACGUACAAAGGAGUCCCUGGAGUGGGCUAAAAUAAGUGCGGGACAAAGCAGUGAACCGAAGCCCCGGUAAACGGCGGCCGUAACUAUAACGGUCCUAAGGUAGCGAAAUUCCUUGUCGGGUAAGUUCCGACCUGCACGAGGCUCGGCGAAAUUGAGAUAUCGGUGAAGACGCCGAUUUCCCGCAACGGGACGGAAAGACCCCGUGAACCUUUACUAUAACUUGAUAUUGGAUCUUAGCUAAACAUGUGUAGGAUAGGUGGGAGGCUGUGAAUUCCGGCCGCUAGGUCGGGAGGAGCCAACCUUGAAAUACCACCCUGGCUGUCUCUG
Molecule: ribosomal RNA, 2230 nt
Filed under: alkali sediment metagenome
Description: bacterial LSU rRNA
Rfam family: Bacterial large subunit ribosomal RNA
Source: RNAcentral